CUCGUUAAAAGACGUGAGAUAUCUGGAAAAAAAUUAGACCUUUUGUGGGAAAAAAAAAAAAAGCAACUGACCAAUAAGCUACCUAGAAAGCAUCCAGCCUGGAUCUCAGCUGCAAAAUUUGAUGACACCAUGGGACCUGAUCAAUGGACAGCCAGGGCAUAUUUUAUAUAGCCCCUGCCUGUUUGAACCUUUAUCGUCCACUGGCAUCACUCAGUGCUGAAUGUCAUCAGAGGACCCAAGGUACAAGGAUUAUCAGCUCUGUUUUAGGGACUGGAAUGAAAUUUGGGCUGAUGUCUGUCUCUACCUGCUGGGGUCAUUUUGCUGCAGUGGUGGAAGUCAUGUGCAGGUUUCUGGGUGGGGCACUUCAGCCAAUCACAUUUAUUUGAGAUGAUCUCUCAGACAUUUGAACUUGACCCUGUUUCCUGCCAAUAACACCUGGCAAGAGAGCUAGGACUUUUCUCCUCUAUGAGACUUGAAACUGGUGCUAAUGACCCUCACUUACAUCCUCUCUGUGAACCUGCAGCAACUUGCUCACUGACGUUUCUGUCAAGAUGUGUUUAUUAUUGAAUAUUGCUUCCUUUGGAAGGGUAAGACACACUUUUUCUAUCAUCUCCAUUCUUCAUGGGAAGUUUCUUUCAAGAGCUAUCCUUAUUACUGGCUCAGAACUCCAUCUCAGUCAGAAGCUUAAAUUUUGUCAAUUAUUCAUGUCUUUCCUCCACACUUUGAAUACUAGUAAAGCUCUCUGCCUUAUUUGUUGUUUCUCUUCUUAUUUCUGACUUCUGACAGGAUAAGAAAUUCCAGGUGUUUUCUGAGGCUCUUUCUGUCAACAUCUUAAUGAUCUGGGAUGUUGUCACCUUUGUGAGCAGAUUAUUCAUAUAGAUGAGAGGCUGUCAUGGCCUGUUUUGAGACUGCAGUCAGGACUGCACCCAUGAUUGGAGUGAAUGCCACAAGUGCUUCAGCUAAGUGGGUGGUAACGCUGAGAAAUUUCACCUUCCCUGUCAUCUGAUGAGCCUUCAUGUGGUGCUCUUUUCAAUUUCAUGAGAUCCUUGGCCAUCCAGGAGCAUCCAGGAAUGGUGCUGCACUUGGCAGUGUUCUUAUGAUUUUUAUUGGUAGGAAGAACUUCCAUUACCUCUCUGGGGUAAAUAUGAAGCCUUCUUACGGGCUCACAUUGUGUCAAUAUACUUGUGUGCAAUCACUAUGAAAUCCAAGAACAGCUUAUUUCAAAGUAAGACAUUUUCUUCAAAGUAUGCAUAUAGAUUUUCUGAUUGCAGGGGACAUAAAGAAUGACAAAGAAUAACUUUUUUUUUUUCACGACAAAAGAGCGGAAGGGAAAAUGAUGCAGAAAGAAAAAUUACAUGGUCAAGAAGCAGAUAUUUUCCCUACUUUCUUCCAUGGCAUGACUGUAUUUGUGCACUACAUACAUUUGCUACAGAACAUGCUGCAGACAAAAGGAAUCGAAACCACAACUAGAGAAUUGGAUUUCCCCUGCUUUCUCCAAAAUAAAUAUUUGUUUGCGACAAAAGCAGCCGGAAGAAUGAGACGUACCUUUGACACUACAGGGUCGUCUGUUUGUGCCAGCUGCAGUAGAGUUCUCAUUUUCAGCUGUUACCUGGCAUGAAUUUGAACAGAAGAACCUCCCCUGUCAUCAGAAAGCCAGAAAAAUCCAUUCAGAUUAGGAGACGGAAGGAGAUUUAGAGAGUCUCUCUUGGAUCACGCUGGUGCCUUCACAAAAGCCAUAUUUUUAUUAUGCCCUUACAUAACCUGUCCCCUGUUUCAAAUACAGCUUGAAAAAAACCUCCUUAGUACAAGUACAUGACCAGCUGAGUAAAUAAAAAAACCUGUUGAACUUGUGGAUUGUACUUAGUGAGGCCCUAACUAUUUUGAUACAUGUGCCUGCAUAGCAAUACGUUUUGGAGAGAAAUAGUGAUAUUGAGACACAUGAAAACAGUUGGUAAAAGCUACAAGUUAACCUGAAAACAUAUUCCUGGUAACACAGUUAAAGGAAAGAGAGAGGUACUCAAAGGUAAACUCAGGUCAACUGGCAUCUUCAAAAACAAGACUUGGAUGACUUAUAAAACAAAGUCAUAUGCAAAGAGGGAGCAAGUCACAGAAACACCAAAUUUACCACAGUGUCAUGAGAGUGGAAAGGAGGAAAAAAAAUGACAAAAAAGAACUCAGCAGUAAAAUGAAUAUAUUCAUGCAGUGUCAGUCUCUCCAGACAAGAAAUGGUGCCAAGCAGAACCGCAUCAGCGUGUGGCCGCUUCUUGCACUGACACUAAAAACAUCUGUUGAGGUACAGCGUUUAUACUGUCUGCCAAACAAGAGUUUUUUAAUCUUAAAACAUAUGCUGGAAAUAGGAAAAUUUGGACAAGAACAAAAAGAAAAAAGAGGGGUGGGUGGCCAAUAAAUUAAAAGUGAGAAGUGGGGAAGGACAGAUUGGAGACAAUGUUUUCCACAUAGUGCAUCACAGUUAAUUCAAGUCAUUUCAGGUCACCCAGGAAAGGAAAGCUCAUGAAGGAAUUCACAGAUUGCUCAGAGAACUUGAAAGAAACAAAUGGUGUUCUUCACAUCAGACUUCAUCUUUCAAACAUUGGGUUUUGAACAGUUAACCAUAAAACUCAGGUUUUAACAAAAGUUUGGGAAUGCAUCGAAUUUGAGAUGCAAGAACUGAUGCUGACAGCAACACUCUUAUUUUUCAGGCAUGCAUAUCUCACAUUUUUUGCAGAAAGCAUGUAUUUAAACCCCCCAGCCGAGCAACGGCCUAAUAUUGGCUCUUCAGAAAUUGUGCCUCCAGCCUAUUUGAUUAAACAUUUAUGCAAACAAAUUUUAGAUACAUACAAUGAGUAAAUUAUUUUAAGAUUAUCACCUUCACAUUUAUUUCUCUAGUUGAAGAAGCUAGAGUACAGAAUUCAGAAAUAUUUCAGUGAGAAUAAUUUUCAGAUAUGACCAAAGAAGUUAUUCAACUAUUUCUAGGAUAUUUUUCAAAUAAAGUCCCUAAAUAUUCCUUAUGAUAAAAUACUCUCAUAGAAGGCAGCUUAUUUUCAUUUCUGAAAUUAACUACAUAUUUUCAAGUACAUUAUUUGGUAAAGUUAUCUAAAUGAUCUAUUUCCUGACUACCAUAAGCAUGUAUGAAUAGAAGAUUUGAUUUUGUGUCACUGACCCUUUGACUUUCAUUCAAUUUCAUUCAAAUGAGUGUCUCUUUGGUACCAUCUCGGGUUUACAGUAUGUGGUACAUGUCUAAAGACAGAAACAGAUAAUGAACCUGCUUUAAUACAAUUUGUCCACUCUAAUAAUUCCAUGUGAAUUGUGCUUUUAGAAGAGAAAAUGUGCCUAGAGUAAAAUGCAGGCCCCUAGAAAUCAAAGAGGAAACUCCCACUUUCUUCAACAGAUUUGAGAUUUCAUCUCUAGAACUCUUGACUUUCAUGUACAAAAGAUUUAUGCUUAAUGAAUCACUGGAUAUGGUAAAUUGCAUGUUUUCAAAAUCUGCGUCAAAUUAAUUGUGCUGCAUAUCUUUCAAGAUAUGCUUUAUUUUAUUUAUGUUCCCUCUAUUAAAUGUUUUAUUUUUUAAAAACACCAUAGAAAUGAAUAGAUUAACGGAUUAUGCACACCAUGGCUUACAGAACUUUUUGUCCUUCUAAUAUGGCAAAUGGGACAAUUUAGGCUUUGUAUUGAAGUAGAUUAUACCCACUGCAGACAAUUUAUUUCUGGGAUAUAAAACAUGUUGGACAAUAUGAAAAUCAAAUUCUAGAAUGAGGUGUUGCAAUGAAAUGGGAGAUGUUUUCUAAGGGCAGCACUCAGAGCUGCAUAAUUUUCUGCCCUAUUUGAUAACUUUUGGCUUUGACUGAGUUCUUUAUGUAGCUGAGUUUUAGUGGACAUUUAUAUCCUGGUAAAAAUACAGAGAUUUUGUGUGCCCAUAUAACAGU
Sturnus vulgaris (Common starling) is the source of this 3923-nucleotide non-coding RNA. The record is from RefSeq and is a predicted model, not a curated record. NCBI's taxonomy places the organism in Eukaryota, Metazoa, Chordata, Aves, Passeriformes, Sturnidae.